Molecule: ribosomal RNA, 253 nt
Filed under: uncultured bacterium
Lineage: Bacteria
Description: partial 16S ribosomal RNA
Rfam family: Bacterial small subunit ribosomal RNA
Source: RNAcentral
UACGGGGGGGGCAAGCGUUGUUCGGAAUUACUGGGCGUAAAGGGCGCGUAGGCGGUUUGCUAAGUUGGACGUGAAAACUCUGGGCUUAACCCAGAGCCUGCAUCCAAAACUGGCAAGCUGGAGUAUUGGAGGGGGAAGCGGAAUUCCUGGUGUAGCAGUGAAAUGCGUAGAUAUCAGGAGGAACGCCGGUGGCGAAGGCGGCUUCCUGGACAAUAACUGACGCUGAGGCGCGAAAGCUAGGGGAGCAAACAGG